CAGUCGAACGAACUCUGGUAUUGAUUGGUGCUUGCAUCAUGAUUUACAUUUGAGUGAGUGGCGAACUGGUGAGUAACACGUGGGAAACCUGCCCAGAAGCGGGGGAUAACACCUGGAAACAGAUGCUAAUACCGCAUAACAACUUGGACCGCAUGGUCCGAGCUUGAAAGAUGGCUUCGGCUAUCACUUUUGGAUGGUCCCGCGGCGUAUUAGCUAGAUGGUGGGGUAACGGCUCACCAUGGCAAUGAUACGUAGCCGACCUGAGAGGGUAAUCGGCCACAUUGGGACUGAGACACGGCCCAAACUCCUACGGGAGGCAGCAGUAGGGAAUCUUCCACAAUGGACGAAAGUCUGAUGGAGCAACGCCGCGUGAGUGAAGAAGGGUUUCGGCUCGUAAAACUCUGUUGUUAAAGAAGAACAUAUCUGAGAGUAACUGUUCAGGUAUUGACGGUAUUUAACCAGAAAGCCACGGCUAACUACGUGCCAGCAGCCGCGGUAAUACGUAGGUGGCAAGCGUUGUCCGGAUUUAUUGGGCGUAAAGCGAGCGCAGGCGGUUUUUUAAGUCUGAUGUGAAAGCCUUCAGCUCAACCGAAGAAGUGCAUCGGAAACUGGGAAACUUGAGUGCAGAAGAGGACAGUGGAACUCCAUGUGUAGCGGUGAAAUGCGUAGAUAUAUGGAAGAACACCAGUGGCGAAGGCGGCUGUCUGGUCUGUAACUGACGCUGAGGCUCGAAAGUAUGGGUAGCAAACAGGAUUAGAUACCCUGGUAGUCCAUACCGUAAACGAUGAAUGCUAAGUGUUGGAGGGUUUCCGCCCUUCAGUGCUGCAGCUAACGCAUUAAGCAUUCCGCCUGGGGAGUACGGCCGCAAGGCUGAAACUCAAAGGAAUUGACGGGGGCCCGCACAAGCGGUGGAGCAUGUGGUUUAAUUCGAAGCUACGCGAAGAACCUUACCAGGUCUUGACAUACUAUGCAAAUCUAAGAGAUUAGACGUUCCCUUCGGGGACAUGGAUACAGGUGGUGCAUGGUUGUCGUCAGCUCGUGUCGUGAGAUGUUGGGUUAAGUCCCGCAACGAGCGCAACCCUUAUUAUCAGUUGCCAGCAUUAAGUUGGGCACUCUGGUGAGACUGCCGGUGACAAACCGGAGGAAGGUGGGGAUGACGUCAAAUCAUCAUGCCCCUUAUGACCUGGGCUACACACGUGCUACAAUGGAUGGUACAACGAGUUGCGAACUCGCGAGAGUAAGCUAAUCUCUUAAAGCCAUUCUCAGUUCGGAUUGUAGGCUGCAACUCGCCUACAUGAAGUCGGAAUCGCUAGUAAUCGCGGAUCAGCAUGCCGCGGUGAAUACGUUCCCGGGCCUUGUACACACCGCCCGUCACACCAUGAGAGUUUGUAACACCCAAAGUCGGUGGGGUAACCUUUUAGAACCAGC
RNAcentral lists this ribosomal RNA (1428 nucleotides) under Lactiplantibacillus plantarum. RNAcentral's name for it is "bacterial SSU rRNA". It matches the Rfam family "Bacterial small subunit ribosomal RNA". Lineage: Bacteria; Bacillati; Bacillota; Bacilli; Lactobacillales; Lactobacillaceae. The record is from RNAcentral.